GAUGAACGCUGGCGGCGUGCCUAAUACAUGCAAGUCGAGCGAACGGACGAGAAGCUUGCUUCUCUGAUGUUAGCGGCGGACGGGUGAGUAACACGUGGAUAACCUACCUAUAAGACUGGGAUAACUUCGGGAAACCGGAGCUAAUACCGGAUAAUAUUUUGAACCGCAUGGUUCAAAAGUGAAAGACGGUCCUGCUGUCACUUAUAGAUGGAUCCGCGCUGCAUUAGCUAGUUGGUAAGGUAACGGCUUACCAAGGCAACGAUGCAUAGCCGACCUGAGAGGUGGUUCGGCACACUGGAACUGAGACACGGUCCAGACUCCUACGGGAGGCAGCAGUAGGGAAUCUUCCGCAAUGGGCGAAAGCCUGACGGAGCAACGCCGCGUGAGUGAUGAAGGUCUUCGGAUCGUAAAACUCUGUUAUUAGGGAAGAACAUAUAUGUAAGUAACUGUGCACAUCUUGACGGUACCUAAUCAGAAAGCCACGGCUAACUACGUG
This 496-nucleotide ribosomal RNA is filed under the name uncultured bacterium. RNAcentral describes it as "partial 16S ribosomal RNA". It matches the Rfam family "Bacterial small subunit ribosomal RNA", at positions 28 to 507 of the family's 1533-position model. The record is from RNAcentral.